RNAcentral lists this long non-coding RNA (264 nucleotides) under Elaeis guineensis (African oil palm). Its description in RNAcentral is "long non-coding RNA (EGUI_LNC067190)". The record is from RNAcentral. Lineage: Eukaryota; Viridiplantae; Streptophyta; Magnoliopsida; Arecales; Arecaceae.
CCGGACUUCUAUUGCAGGUAGGCUUCGACCGAGCUUCCUCAACAAAUGAUCUCCAUCCGGACUUCUACGGGAACCAGACUCCGAUCGAACUUCUGUAGCGAGCAGAUUUCGGACGAAAUCCUACAACGCACGGGCCCCAGCAGCUGAACCCCUCUAGCAGAAAGCCCCUGACCGAGCUUCUACAGUGGAUGACCUUCGCCUACAGUACUAGCACCCUAGGCACCCGAUGGUAGAAAGCUCGCCAGCAACAUCCGAGCUCCUCUC